UAUAAGGGAUUUUGAGUUUUUGCUUGCAACGUUUGACCACUCGUCUUAUUCAAAAAAUUCUGAAAUUAUUAAUUAUUUUAUUUGUGACUUACUUUAUUAUCUACAGUAUUUUAAGCACAACUUUUUGUUUUUUAUAUUUGAAAAAAAAUUAAAUAAAACGAGUGGUCAAACGUUGCAAGCAAAACCUAAAAAUCGCUUAUAUU
RNAcentral lists this microRNA precursor (203 nucleotides) under Oryza glumipatula. RNAcentral's name for it is "MIR812 microRNA precursor family". It matches the Rfam family "MIR812 microRNA precursor family". Lineage: Eukaryota; Viridiplantae; Streptophyta; Magnoliopsida; Poales; Poaceae. The record is from Rfam by way of RNAcentral.